CAUGAUUGCAUGCAUACUUGCUAUAAGCUAUAUGCGAGUCUCUUCAGAACUAAACUCCAUUCUGAUACAAAAUUCAUCUUUCUUUUCAUUCUCAUUUUUUUUGCUUCUAGGAUCAACAUCUUUGGUUUCAAGUUGAUCUUUUGUGUUGGCUAUUUCAUAUUCUUCCUCAAAUUCACUGACUGAAGUGUCGUUUUCACUGAGUUAAGCAUCGUCUUCCUCGGCCAAAAACUUAACUAACUCUUUAUUUAACAAACUGGAAUCACCUGAGACUUGUAAACUAUAUCCACACUGACCACCAAAAACAGUUUCUUGACCACUUAAUUGAUUAUUCUCCAUUGCAAUCUGCACUAACCAUUUUAAUAUUAUUAUAUUUAUAUUAUAGGAGAGAUGUAACCUAAAUCUUUACUAAAUUUACUAUGUUUUCUUGAGCCAACCUC
RNAcentral lists this long non-coding RNA (437 nucleotides) under Brassica napus (rape). RNAcentral describes it as "long non-coding RNA (BNAP_LNC011711)". Lineage: Eukaryota; Viridiplantae; Streptophyta; Magnoliopsida; Brassicales; Brassicaceae. The record is from RNAcentral.